Long non-coding RNA from Misgurnus anguillicaudatus (oriental weatherfish), 549 nucleotides. RefSeq lists it as uncharacterized. NCBI's taxonomy places the organism in Eukaryota, Metazoa, Chordata, Actinopteri, Cypriniformes, Cobitidae. The record is from RefSeq and is a predicted model, not a curated record.
UCUUUUUUUUACUUUACUGGUUGUUUUAAAAAUGUAAUGUUUGCAUUCAUAAUUAAAUAAAUAUUAUACAUAUAAUAUGAUUCAUACUGUAAAAAUAAUUGACUUACCAUUAAGAACAAUACAGAUACAUUACAGAAAUGCACACAUAUACAUCUCAGUAGCCAUUAAAACUUUAAAUAUAUAAAUAAUAAAACCUAUAACGUGAUAAAAACGCCAUAAAAACACUACACUGAAGGGAAAAAUAGGGGGAACAUAGGGGGAACAGACUUCGACACAACACCGGUCUUAAGAUAUGAAGUAAGGAUGAUAUGAAUCAUGGCGCUGUUUUACACCCAAUUUCUGCAAGAUCUACCAAAGUUAACAAUUACCGACGAUCACCGGCUAGUACAAGCGGCAUGCUCAGCCCCGAGGAGCAAAAAGGAAAAGGAUUAUUAAGUUACAUCGACAACUAUGAAGAUUGUCUUUGACGACUGCUCACCAGUUGACAUUUCAGUGGCAGACUGUUCCUGUGUGGCUGGAAGAGCACCCGACUGAGAGCCCACCCUUCCG